UUCCGGUUGAUCCCGCCGGAGGUUACUGCUAUCGAGGUUCGACUAAGCCAUGCGAGUCGAAUGUAGCAAUACAUGGCGAACUGCUCAGUAACACGUGGACAACCUGCCCUUAGGUUGGGUAUAAACCCGGGAAACUGGGUAUAAUACCCGAUAGGUCUCGAUUGCUGGAAUGCAUCGAGAUUUAAAGCUCCGGCGCCUAAGGAUGGGUCUGCGGCCUAUCAGGUAGUAGUGGGUGUAGCGUACCUACUAGCCUACGACGGGUACGGGUUGUGAGAGCAAGAGCCCGGAGAUGGAUUCUGAGACACGAAUCCAGGCCCUACGGGGUGCAGCAGGCGCGAAAACUUUACAAUGCUGGCAACAGCGAUAAGGGAACCUCGAGUGCCAGGUUACAAAUCUGGCUGUCGAGAUGCCUAAAAAGCAUUUCAUAGCAAGGGCCGGGCAAGACCGGUGCCAGCCGCCGCGGUAACACCGGCGGCUCGAGUGGUAACCGUUAUUAUUGGGUCUAAAGGGUCUGUAGCCGGCCGGAUAAGUCUCUUGAGAAAUCUGGCAGCUUAACUGUCAGGCUUUCAGGAGAUACUGUCUGGCUCGAGGCCGGGAGAGGUGAGAGGUACUUCAGGGGUAGGGGUGAAAUCUUGUAAUCCUUGAAGGACCACCAGUGGCGAAGGCGUCUCACCAGAACGGACCUGACGGCAAGGGACGAAAGCUAGGGGCACGAACCGGAUUAGAUACCCGGGUAGUCCUAGCCGUAAACGAUACUCGCUAGGUGUCGGCCACGGUGCGACCGUUGUCGGUGCCGUAGGGAAGCCGUGAAGCGAGCCACCUGGGAAGUACGGCCGCAAGG
This 841-nucleotide ribosomal RNA is filed under the name bacterium enrichment culture clone F8 1.705-A8. Its description in RNAcentral is "bacterial SSU rRNA". It matches the Rfam family "Archaeal small subunit ribosomal RNA", at positions 1 to 848 of the family's 1478-position model. The record is from RNAcentral.